CUGUGUCCAGCACUGCCCUCUGCACUUCACAUCUGCUGAGUUGGUCUCCUUCUCCAGCAUCCAUGCAGCCAGAAUACCUGGUUCUCCAACCUCAAUACUGCUUCUCCUUAGCCUUCUCUGCUGGAUGCACUUCUGUUUCUCCAAAAUGUAAACGUGUCUAGGAUGGGGUCGCAGUCUGUCUUGCUCACCUGUGUGUACAAGUGUGCAUCUGGAUGUAGGAGGGGCUGGGUGAAGAUGCUGUGAUCAGCUGACCAGCUGCAGGACCGACUUAUUGACUCACAUCAUCUUCACCGCAACUUCACGAGGAUCCAGGGUUCUGCAACAUCCUUAAGGAUUACGGAAGUUUCACAGUACCUGGAUGGAGCAAAAAACGUCAAAGUGAAGAGUCUGGGCCCUCUCUGGAUCUGUUAAAAUGGCCCAGUUCCUAAUGAGACACAAGGGUCCUGGCCAUGGGAGGAGCCCCUAGGCAGGCCAUCACAGGAUCUGAGGGAGCUGAGGCCCGAGGCACACUUACCCAGAGCUGGAGCAGAUGACGGUCAGUGGGGAAGUGUGUGUGUUUGUUGGGGGGAACUGGAAUGGUCCCACCAAAGAUGUGUCUCCCAGCCUGCUCCAUGGCAUCGCACUGCCUGCUGCCCCCGACCAUCAGACUCCUCUGAGCCUCUGCUUUGUCAACUGAUCUCAACCAACUGGGCUCUGGAUUCUUAUACAUAGAAGACUGCUCAGCAGGCGCCGGAGAGCCGCCAAGUCCGUGACAACCUGUAGGCCCAUCACAGCUGACGACAUCCAGACAGGCUCUCCCUGGCAGACUCAUCUCUCGCCUUUCCACGGCAACUUCUAUUUUGACCACGCACUCACAUGGAUCCUUCUCUUAUUCCCUCCUACAGUUUCCAGCCAGACUGGCCCAUGCCGGGAGGCGGCUCUGCGAAAGUAAAGAAAACAAAAGACAUCCAAUAGCCAGUGUGGCUUUAACCUGAAGAACAGCUGCAUGUUCAUUGACUGCUUAGUGUGUGCUAAAUGUUUCACACGCACUUGCUCGAUUCAUCUUGACAAGAGCCCUGUGACGUGGGUGCAUUAGUCCUUUUUUCUGGGGGGGGGGGAGGAGGAAGCUGAAGCACAGAGAGGCUAAGUAACUUGCCCCAGGUCACACAGCCAGCGAAUAGCAAGCCAGGAUUGGCACACAGGUCUCUAAUUUUAAGCACUGCACACUUAAUCCCUAAACUAUAUGCUCUUUAAUUAGGGGAGGGGUUAGGAUUAGUCCAGAGCCAGGCUGCUGCAAGGGAGAGGCCUCCCACUCCCCCCACUUAGGGGCUAUUGUGAGGUGGAGCUCCAGCUGUCUCUAGGGAACAAACACGGCUGAGAAGGAGAAAGGGGAGGAGUGUCUUUGUCGGAAGACACUAAAGCACUAAAGAGAGGAAGCAGUGGGAAGAAUAGCAGUCGGGAGAGCUCACCAAGCGCCAGGCACAGCACUGGGCCCCUUGCAUCCUGUACCCUGGCACUCCUCAAACCUCAUAACUCG
RNAcentral lists this long non-coding RNA (1516 nucleotides) under Rhinopithecus bieti (black snub-nosed monkey). RNAcentral's name for it is "lncRNA (ENSRBIG00000046632.1)". Lineage: Eukaryota; Metazoa; Chordata; Mammalia; Primates; Cercopithecidae. The record is from RNAcentral.